GUAAACAGAGGCUGUGGAAGCCAAGGUAAACAUAAGAAAGGAAAACUUUUGUACGGUGAACUUGGGCUAAAAAGAAGAAUGAUGUCUCUGGAACUUUUGCUGCUUAUAGGAAUGAGAGCAAAAUCCUGGCAUGACCAUGAUCCUUCAAUGAGCACCACUGUGUUGCUGCAUUCUGUCUGGCCAAUCUAGUCUAUAAUAGUUUUUUGUUUUGUUUUGAUUUUUGUGUGUUUUUUUGUUUGUUUGUUUGUUUUGAUGGAGUUUUGCUCUUAUUGCCCAGGCUGGAGUGCAAUGGCAUGAUCUCAGCUCACUGCAACCUCCUCAUCCCAGGUUCAAGCGAUUCUCCUGCCUCAGACUCCUAAAUACCUAGGAUUACAGGCACCUGCC
RNAcentral lists this long non-coding RNA (384 nucleotides) under Homo sapiens (human). Its description in RNAcentral is "HSALNT0350123". Lineage: Eukaryota; Metazoa; Chordata; Mammalia; Primates; Hominidae. The record is from RNAcentral.